This 103-nucleotide small nuclear RNA is filed under the name Chinchilla lanigera (long-tailed chinchilla). Lineage: Eukaryota; Metazoa; Chordata; Mammalia; Rodentia; Chinchillidae. The record is from RNAcentral.
GUGCUCUCUUCGGCAGCACAUAUACUAAAAUUGGAGCCAUACAAAGUUUAGCAUGGCCCCUGAGCGAGAUGACAUGCAAAUUCAUGAGGCAUUCCAUAUUUUU